CCUCGCUGAGGGGAUUCCAUACGGGAGGGCUCCCUCGCCGACCAUGUCGAUGAGCCGCCCAGCCGCUGUCUUGCAUGCCGGGAGCGACGAUGGCAAAAAGGAUGACCCGAUGGCUGUACUCUGGCAGCAUGAACGGCACGUGCUGGUGUUGACACGGGCCGGCAAGCCCAUCUUUUCUCAGCAUGGCCGCGAAGAGCAGCUCAGUCCACUGUGUGCCCUCCUUCAAGUGCUGCUGCACAUACACGAAGACAAGGAGAGCGGCGACGAGCAAAGCCGGGGGCCGUCCCAGCCUGUUCCCAGAUCGGAUGGCGCCGUAUCUUCUGCGGCCGUGAGGGAUGAGUUGCGCCAGGUGGUCUACUACCGCUCAAGGUCGACGUCCGGCCAGGUCUCGCAUCAAGGUGACGUGAACGCGCAAGUGCAAGCCCUGACACUCUUCUUCUACGUUCAGGGUGAGCUGAUCUACCUCAUGUCAGUGCGCAGCGUGGCCCCCUCACUGCCAGCAGGCGCCGUGGAGAUGUCGAGCGCGGAGGGAGAAUGCGAAGCGCCGCCACUGGCUAGCUGCUGCCUGGCGCAGCUACGGCAUGUCCACCACUGCAUCCUACUCGUGCUUCCCACCGUGAACGCCCUGCUGGCGAGGUCACCCGGGCUGGACGUCAUGGCCACGUACACCUCGGCCGACCGUGCGGCGCUUCGAGAGCUCAUCGAGUCCCACCAGACAGAGCUGACAUACGCUGUUGGCGCGGUGGCCACGCUGGCCCUCAGCGUAGAGAAGCGUCGAGUUGUGGAAAGAGCGCUGCUGUGCUGUUACCGCAGCUGCGCCGACGCCGCCGUCGGGCCGCCGGCACACCAGCUGUUCAGCUUUCUGUACUUUAAAAACUACCUCGUGGCCGCCGUCGGACCUCCCGAGACCUACGCCGCAGACCCGAAGGUCUCUGUGUCCGCGCCCCUUGCACUGGGACCUGACACUGCGCUCUGCGGCUGUCUUCAUGUCGACGACGCGCUUCUCCUGUACCGCUACGCUCGCUCGCUGAUCUUGCGGCAGCUGGGGGAGGCGUGGGUGCCGGUGUGUCUGCCGCGCUUCAACAGCACCGGCUACCUCUGGUGCUACGCCGUCAACUUCACUCGCUACGCGCGGGAGCUCCGUCAGCAGCAAGGCAGGACGGUAUGGCCAAAGGUGUGGGAAGAGCACACGGAGCUCGAUUUAAUGCUCCUGCACGUGUCUGCCUCGCAGGAUGACUUCACGGCGCUGUCUCGCAGCACCCAACGCUUCGCGCAGAUCCUUUACGCGCCCGCCGUGGGGGACAGCUUUUACUAUCGGUUGGAGGAAGAACUCUACUACCGUACACCGGCCCCCUUGACGGAACUCCUGUCCUCGUCCCACAUGUCGGUGACCACCUGCUCCUCGCGUGACCUGCCUGGCUGCACUGGCGGGGUGCCGCUGUGGUAUGGCGUGGUCAUCCAAGGCGGCGACGCAUCCUUCCUCAACGCUGCUCAAGGCGAAGAGUCCAAGGCAACAACGCGGGCGGCCGCAACAGCCACGCGCGCGCUCGACUGUCCUUCAGCGAGCAUUCGGCUGCUGUUUGAGAGUCAGCCGUCACCGUUGCUCAACAUCGCCACCGUGGAGAAUGUGAAGGAGUUCCGGCAGCUUGCGGCGCGCUACCAGGCGCAGCUGCGUGCUGCACCCGCCUCUUCUUCAGCUCCUUGCAUGCUGUUUGUGCGCCACAACAGCGCCCUCGCCUUCGCAGUGGUUCAGCCGACCCGGCCACGCUGGCGGCACUGGCCGAGCAAUUCUUUUCGCCGAAGAAUCCGUUCGAUGUGCCAACUGAUGGCACUGCCGCUGGCGGUGACGCUGAAGAGUUUAAGGAGGGCCGAUUCAGUGUGGCCGCAGCCUCUCACCGCGGCGUAUCUUAUACUGCCUGGGUGGAGGCCGUUCGUGCGCUUGGCGUAGCGGAGCUCACGGUUGUGUUCGCGGCUUCCACACCGGAGGCCAUGGCGUGGUAUUGGGUGGCACACAUCUUGUUCAUGGCAGUGCAGCGGCGCAGCCACUUCAUUGUACGUCAGCUGAUCGGUGAUCGUCGGUGAGAUGAUACAACCUCGAGAAGCGCGCUUGCGCAUCAGAGAAUGGCAACGGCGUUGGUGAAAGGUUUGAGUAUGCGUGACUGGGCGCAUGUCUGCGUGUGUGGCGGUGCUCCCCUCAUCUUCCUCUCGCGUUCUCCUUUCCUUUUCCGCGUUGCUCGGCUGCUCCUUUCUUUACUUUUUUCUUCAAG
Molecule: unclassified non-coding RNA, 2267 nt
Filed under: Leishmania donovani
Lineage: Eukaryota; Euglenozoa; Kinetoplastea; Trypanosomatida; Trypanosomatidae
Description: gene:LdHU3.34.0450(CDS-product:Trafficking_protei n_Mon1_putative)
Source: RNAcentral